AUAUGGAGGUAGAGCACUGAAUGGACUAGGGGCCAAAAAGGUUACCGAACCCUAUCAAACUCCGAAUGCCAUAUUGAUAACCCUGGGAGUCAGACUACGAGUGAUAAGAUCCGUAGUCAAAAGGGAAACAGCCCAGACCGACAGCUAAGGUCCCAAAGAGCAUGUUAAGUGGGAAAGGAAGUAGGAUUUCCAAGACAACCAGGAUGUUGGCUUAGAAGCAGCCAUACAUUCAAAGAGUGCGUAAUAGCUCACUGGUCGAGAAAUCCCGCGCCGAAAAUAAACGGGGCUAAAACAUGCCACCGAAGCUACGGAUUCUGUAGGAAUGGUAGGGGAGCGUACUGUACAGGGAGAAGGAUAAGCGAAAGCGAAUCUGGACAGUACAGUAGAGAGAAUGCCGGUAUAAGUAACGAGAGUAAGGCGAGAAACCUUACCGUCGAAAGCCUAAGGGUUCCUGGGGAAGGAUAAUCCGCCCAGGGUAAGUCGGGACCUAAGCCGAGGCGAGAGCGUAGGCGAUGGAUAACCGGUAAUAAAUCCGGUACCACCGAAAUCCGUUAAAAGAGAAGCAAGGACGCAGCGAGAUAAGAAAAGCGUGCGGUUGGUAGAGCACGUCCAAGCAGCGACGAAAAGAGCUUUGAGUGAAGUACCAAAGCUCAUAAGAGCUGUGACGGGGAGCCGAAGAGGCGAAGUUUCGAAGGGGCUGCCAAGAAAAGUUGCUAUCGAGGAUAAGGUGCCCGUACCCGAAACCGACACAGGUAGGCGAGGAGAGAAUCCAAAGACGAGCGGGAGAACCCUCAUUAAGGAACUCGGCAAAAAGACUCCGUAACUUCGGGAGAAGGAGUGCCGAAAGGCCGCAGAGAAGAGGCCCAAGCGACUGUUUACCAAAAACACAGGUUUCUGCUAAGUCGAAAGACGAAGUAUAGGAGCUGACGCCUGCCCGGUGCUGGAAGGUUAAGGGGAAGUGUUAGGAGAAAAUCUGAAGCACAGAACUUAAGCCCCAGUAAACGGCGGCCGUAACUAUAACGGUCCUAAGGUAGCGAAAUUCCUUGUCGGGUAAGUUCCGACCUGCACGAAAGGCGUAACGACUUGGGCGCUGUCUAGAUGGGGGACCCGGUGAAAUUGUAGUACUCGUGAAGAUGCGAGUUACCCGCGACAGGACAGAAAGACCCCAUGGAGCUUUACUGCAGCUUGUCACUGAAUUUUAGUAAUAUCUGUACAGGAUAGGUGGGAGGCAGAGAAAGAUGGGCGCCAGCCUAUCUGGAGCCGACGUUGGGAUACCACCCUGAUAUUACCGAAAUUCUAACAUAGGAGCCGUAAGCCGGCAUAUGGACACUGACAGGCGGGCAGUUUGACUGGGGCGGUCGCCUCCCAAAAAGUAACGGAGGCGUCCAAAGGUUACCUCAGCGCGGAAGGAAAUCGCGCGUAAGAGUGCAAAGGCAGAAGGUAGCCUAACUGCGAGAAAGACAAUUCGAGCAGGGACGAAAGUCGGGCUUAGUGAUCCGGCGGUAGAGAAUGGGAUUGCCGUCGCUCAACGGAUAAAAGCUACCCUGGGGAUAACAGGCUGAUCUCCCCCAAGAGUCCACAUCGACGGGGAGGUUUGGCACCUCGAUGUCGGCUCAUCGCAUCCUGGGGCUGAAGUAGGUCCCAAGGGUUGGGCUGUUCGCCCAUUAAAGCGGUACGCGAGCUGGGUUCAGAACGUCGUGAGACAGUUCGGUCCCUAUCCGUCGCGGGCGUAGGAAAUUUGAGAGGAACUGCCCUUAGUACGAGAGGACCGGGGUGGACAAACCGAUGGUGUACCAGUUGCGAAGCCAUUCGCACAGCUGGGUAGCCAAGUUUGGAAGGGAUAAACGCUGAAAGCAUCUAAGCGUGAAACCCACCUCAAGAAAAGAUUUCCCAUCCGAAAGGAGUAAGACACCUUGGAGAAGACGAGGUAGAUAGGCCGGAGGUGUAAGAGUAGAAAUACUUU
RNAcentral lists this ribosomal RNA (1963 nucleotides) under Thermoanaerobacterium butyriciformans. RNAcentral describes it as "partial 23S ribosomal RNA". It matches the Rfam family "Bacterial large subunit ribosomal RNA", at positions 894 to 2887 of the family's 2925-position model. The record is from RNAcentral. Lineage: Bacteria; Bacillati; Bacillota; Clostridia; Thermoanaerobacterales; Thermoanaerobacteraceae.